Molecule: RNA transcript, 1875 nt
Organism: Quercus robur (English oak)
Lineage: Eukaryota; Viridiplantae; Streptophyta; Magnoliopsida; Fagales; Fagaceae
Exons: 2
Source: RefSeq, a predicted model, not a curated record
UUGGCCUUAGAAAUCUGUGAAGCACUAAAAGGCUUUAGAAAACAACUCAAAGAAAAGAAGAAAUAAGUUUCCUACUCCUCUAAUACCUUCCUAGAAAAUUUUUGGUGAUUUAAGAUUUAAAGCGAGUCAGGCCUGGCCUUUGAAGAUUGCUUCUUUUGUAUCUGUGAUAGUCUCUUUUAGCCGUCAAGUUCUUUUUUUCUUUCUUCCUGAGUAGUGAUUAUCUACCCUUUUUUUUUGGUAGUCUCAUUUGAGGAUUUUGACUUUGAUGAAGAGAGAGAGAGAGAGAGAGAGAGAGAGAGAGAGGUAGUAAUGGCAAAGAAAAUUGGAACGUAAGAAGCAAGAACAACCAUUUUAUGAAGAAUACCAAGAAGGAGGAGAAACAAUGGCUAAGUUGCACACAUGGCAAGACCUCAUGCUCUUCAACUUCAAGAAAUGAUAGUAUGACCAAGAAGUGGAAGCAAAUUGGGAUGACUAAACAGUAAGGAAACAUGGAUCUCCCUCUCUCUUUCUUUCGGUUAGUUGCUCUAUGGCACCUAAAUGAAAAUCUACUCCGUCUCGGAACCUUCUUCGUUCUAGGGCUUUUUCUUCUUCUUCCCUCAUUGAUUCUACUCCAUCUCAUGUCCGGUUUUGGGAUGAUAAAGCCCGUAAGGAUUUUUAGAGAACUUCUCAUGACAUGGCAUUCAUUCGGAACACCAAGUCAUUCUAUCGGACUUUUUCGAUACUAACCUUCCCACUGUCAUCUACAGUAGGGGUUGGGAGUCACUAUGUGGCAUCUUGGUCACCUAUCUUUUCGUGAUCAUACAGGAGUUUUACUCCAAUAUGCACGGAUUCGACUAUUUUGUACCUCAUUUUGUCACUCGCAUUUGAGGUACGCGCAUUGUAGUUACUCUGACUCUUAUAUCCAAGGUGCUACAUGUACUGAGGGUAGAAUUUGCUGACUACCCUUGCUGUGAUCAUCUUCAGACUGUGUCCAAAGACGAACUCUCGUCUCGCUUCUGUGAGACACCUUUUUCUUGGGGUGACUGUCAAAACACCCCUGGCUUGAUUUUUGUUAUCCUUUCUUAAGGGACUCACUAUAGAUUUUCCAUCUCACUUCAUUCUCUCCUUCAUAAAUGUAUAUAGGGAUACGGUGACCUGUGAUAAGCUCAUUUUCCCUUCGGCUAUCAUGCGGAUUCUCUGCCAUUUUUCUUUCUCCUAUCUUGAGUCUACACACUUCUCCCCUAUGUGUGCCAUAGACACUACUACUGUCAGACGGAGCGAGGCCCAGCUUCGAUCGAAGUGGCCAAGAAUAGAGAUGGCAACUCCUCCAACUUCUUCUGCUCCUUCUUCAUCCACUCCUUCAUCGGCGGGUGGUGUGACCUUUGAGGUGGUCAUGGCACAGCUUCAGCGUAUGGAUGCUCGCCUUGACACACUUAGUGAUGAGUUGUGUCAAGUGAACACCUGUGUUGGCCAUAUUGCUCAAUGGCAGGCUCGCCUUGGUGGAUUUGUAGAGUCUCCCUCUCCUUCUCUAGAGGCAUCUAAGGAUGAGGACGAUGAUGGUGACUCCAACGACGAUGAUGAUGAUAAGUAUAAGGAUGCUAGCUUUUCCGGUGACUACACGAUGACUACUUAAGUUACUUACCCUUUGUCAUUCGUGAAAAAAAGCGGGAGUAGUUUUGGGAUGGGAGUAGUCAUGUAUUUAGGGGGAGGUUAGCAUAGGAAAUUUUUGAUGAUAGGGGGAGUGUUUAUAUUUUAAGGGAUGUAGUGAGUUUGUUAUGUAUUUUGUUUUCUUCCUUUUACAUUUACCUCAUGUAUAUUGGUCUUAUGACCAUUUGACAUACAUUGUACUUAUCUUUUGAUAUAUAUAUAUAUAUAUAUAUAUGUUGAUGUAUGUUA